This 192-nucleotide ribosomal RNA is filed under the name uncultured Desulfovibrio sp. Its description in RNAcentral is "partial 16S ribosomal RNA". It matches the Rfam family "Bacterial small subunit ribosomal RNA", at positions 337 to 522 of the family's 1533-position model. The record is from RNAcentral. Lineage: Bacteria; Pseudomonadati; Thermodesulfobacteriota; Desulfovibrionia; Desulfovibrionales; Desulfovibrionaceae.
GCCUACGGGAGGCAGCAGUGGGGAAUAUUGCGCAAUGGGCGAAAGCCUGACGCAGCGACGCCGCGUGAGGGAUGAAGGCCUUCGGGUCGUAAACCUCUGUCAGGAGGGAAGAACCGCCAUGGUGCUAAUCAGCCGUGGUCUGACGGUACCCCAAAGGAAGCACCGGCUAACUCCGUGCCAGCAGCCGCGGUC